AACGAACGCUGGCGGCAUGCCUAACACAUGCAAGUCGAACGAAGGCUUCGGCCUUAGUGGCGCACGGGUGCGUAACGCGUGGGAACCUGCCCCUCGGUUCGGAAUAACAGUUAGAAAUGACUGCUAAUACCGGAUGAUGACUUCGGUCCAAAGAUUUAUCGCCGAGGGAUGGGCCCGCGUAGGAUUAGCUAGUUGGUGGGGUAAAGGCCUACCAAGGCGACGAUCCUUAGCUGGUCUGAGAGGAUGAUCAGCCACACUGGGACUGAGACACGGCCCAGACUCCUACGGGAGGCAGCAGUGGGGAAUAUUGGACAAUGGGCGAAAGCCUGAGCCAGCAAUGCCGCGUGAGUGAUGAAGGCCUUAGGGUUGUAAAGCUCUUUUACCAGGGAUGAUAAUGACAGUACCUGGAGAAUAAGCUCCGGCUAACUCCGUG
This 433-nucleotide ribosomal RNA is filed under the name uncultured bacterium. Its description in RNAcentral is "bacterial SSU rRNA". It matches the Rfam family "Bacterial small subunit ribosomal RNA", at positions 29 to 507 of the family's 1533-position model. The record is from RNAcentral.